AUGACUGUACUUUUAUAGAAUCUCUAUUUAUGUACUCUCCAAAUUUGACUAAUUCAAAUUUGAUAUCAACACAACCUGUGAUGACGAACUGAAGCAAGGUUGGAUUUUGUGAGAAGAUCGACGUUAUUUUACUCCGGUAAAUACGUUGUGGCGAAGAAACAGCGUCUCGGCAUGUUCUGCCUUGAUGCAACCAACCCUGCACUUUGAACAGG
Small nucleolar RNA from Fragilariopsis cylindrus CCMP1102, 212 nucleotides. It matches the Rfam family "Small nucleolar RNA U3". From Rfam's summary of the family: Small nucleolar RNAs (snoRNAs) are involved in the processing and modification of rRNA in the nucleolus. There are two main classes of snoRNAs: the box C/D class, and the box H/ACA class. The record is from Rfam. NCBI's taxonomy places the organism in Eukaryota, Bacillariophyta, Bacillariophyceae, Bacillariales, Bacillariaceae.